RNAcentral lists this unclassified non-coding RNA (240 nucleotides) under soil metagenome. Its description in RNAcentral is "partial contains 5.8S ribosomal RNA, internal transcribed spacer 2, and large subunit ribosomal RNA". The record is from RNAcentral.
AACGGUCUAUACCUGCGGUACCUGCGGAGGGAUCAUUACCAAUUUUAUAUGUUAGUUUGUGACUCUCCGUCAAACGAGGGCUCACACAACUACUACUGUAAACGUUGAACUAGAUCAUUGGUUGUGGAUUGCUUGGGAAUGGACGAAGCGACAAGCCUCUUCCGGACAGGCAAACCCCACACCGAUAACCUUUUCAUAUAUUACAACUAGUACAUACUACAAACACACAACAAACAAACA